UUGCGCGUACCCUGCAAAUAGAAAAUUGUGCCUAAAACCAGUACAUAAUUGUACAUAAACCAGCUAUUUUUCUAAUUACGACGUCAAGAAGAAAAUGAAGAGGAGCUAUCCACCCGGGAAUGUAAAAAGAAAAAAGAAAAAAGAGGAAGAGGAGAGAUGAAAGCAAGACAGUGGAUCAUUGCUGAAAUUUCUGACACCAGGGCCCAGUAAAGAGAGCGAUGUUCCACCUGAUGUGCCAGCUGAUGACUCUCAACCUGGGCCCUCUUCUGCUCAGCAGUCGGAAUUUACCUCCAGCAAAAUAACAGAUAGCCCUGCUCCCACCAGUCCUGACCAGGAUCAUGUACCAAUACCACAGACAGAUGAGACGGCCUUUUCACGUGCAACUGGUGAUAUCAUUCCGUCAUCACCCACCUUGAGUGAAAGUGAAACAUCUUUUCACCAUGAAGAUGACGUGCCACCCUCUACAAAAGGUUUAAUCACAUCAGUUGACGCCGCACAGUGGCCAGA
Molecule: long non-coding RNA, 507 nt
Organism: Neoarius graeffei (lesser salmon catfish)
Lineage: Eukaryota; Metazoa; Chordata; Actinopteri; Siluriformes; Ariidae
Exons: 4
Source: RefSeq, a predicted model, not a curated record